CCGUGCUAGAUGGGGAGUUAGCGGUGCCCUGUACCUGCAAUCCGCUACAGCAGGAUUGAAUUCCUUACUUCGGCUUUAACCUGUAGGGUCUGCCCCAUAUAAGUGGUGUUGAGAGUUGGGUCCCACGCAACGGAAGCCCGUGAACCCCGUCAGGUCCGGAAGGAAGCAGCGGUAAGUGGAAUCUUUCGUGUGCCGUGGAUCAACCUAGCUUGAGCUAACUGUAUGGGUAACGCUUAUAGGUUACUGUCAACGUAAGGUGCACGG
Clostridium amylolyticum is the source of this 264-nucleotide non-coding RNA. It matches the Rfam family "Bacterial large signal recognition particle RNA". From Rfam's summary of the family: The signal recognition particle (SRP) is a universally conserved ribonucleoprotein involved in the co-translational targeting of proteins to membranes. Archaeal SRP consists of a 7S RNA and homologues of the eukaryotic SRP19 and SRP54 proteins. The record is from Rfam. NCBI's taxonomy places the organism in Bacteria, Bacillati, Bacillota, Clostridia, Eubacteriales, Clostridiaceae.